GACGUAGGGCGCGAGCGUUGUCCGGAAUUAUUGGGCGUAAAGAGCCCGUAGGCGGCUUGUCGCGUCGACUGUGAAAACCCGUGGCUCAACCAUGCGGUCUGCAGUCGAUACGGGCAGGCUAGAAUUCGGUAGGGGAGACUGGAAUUCCUGGUGUAGCGGUGAAAUGCGCAGAUAUCAGGAGGAACACCGGUGGCGAAGGCGGGUCUCUGGGCCGAUAUUGACGCUGAGGAGCGAAAGCGUGGGGAGCGAACAGG
RNAcentral lists this ribosomal RNA (254 nucleotides) under uncultured bacterium. Its description in RNAcentral is "partial 16S ribosomal RNA". It matches the Rfam family "Bacterial small subunit ribosomal RNA", at positions 524 to 776 of the family's 1533-position model. The record is from RNAcentral.